GCGCCCGUAGCUCAGUAACGGAUAGAGCAAGGGAUUCCUAAUCCCUGUGUCGGAGGUUCGAGUCCUCUCGGGCGCA
This 76-nucleotide transfer RNA is filed under the name bacterium. Its description in RNAcentral is "tRNA-Arg". It matches the Rfam family "tRNA". From Rfam's summary of the family: Transfer RNA (tRNA) molecules are approximately 80 nucleotides in length. RNAcentral also lists the same sequence under 1 other name. The record is from RNAcentral.